This 249-nucleotide ribosomal RNA is filed under the name uncultured bacterium. RNAcentral describes it as "partial 16S ribosomal RNA". It matches the Rfam family "Bacterial small subunit ribosomal RNA", at positions 57 to 305 of the family's 1533-position model. The record is from RNAcentral.
GCAAGUCGAACGGGAACGUUUCCUUCGGGAAACUAGUAUAGUGGCGGACGGGUGAGUAACACGUGAUCAACGUACCUGCAGGACCGGGAUAGCCAUCCGAAAGGGUGAGUAAUACCGGAUAUGACCACAGCAUCUCCUGGUGCAGUGGUAAAAGUUUUUCGCCUGCAGAGCGGAUCGCGGCCUAUCAGCUUGUUGGUGAGGUAAAAGCUCACCAAGGCGACGACGGGUAGCCGGCCUGAGAGGGUGGAC